UGGGAAUGGAGGCAAGGGGAAAAAUAAGAAACAUGAGGAUUUAUCCUCCUUGUCAGUGGUCGAGGUCAGCAAGAGGUCCAAGACCUCUAGCCUUGAAGCCCUUAAGAAGAAAAGCCUACUUGGUCAGGGCUCCUAGCUGACCAAUAGUUAAGUAUUUUUGGCAAGAAACCCGGGGUUGUCAAGAGUUUUGUGCCUCUAGCGCACGAGCCCGAGGUUAG
This 218-nucleotide long non-coding RNA is filed under the name Setaria viridis. RNAcentral describes it as "long non-coding RNA (SVIR_LNC004039)". The record is from RNAcentral. Lineage: Eukaryota; Viridiplantae; Streptophyta; Magnoliopsida; Poales; Poaceae.